RNAcentral lists this ribosomal RNA (253 nucleotides) under uncultured bacterium. Its description in RNAcentral is "partial 16S ribosomal RNA". It matches the Rfam family "Bacterial small subunit ribosomal RNA", at positions 524 to 776 of the family's 1533-position model. The record is from RNAcentral.
GACGUAGGGCGCGAGCGUUGUCCGGAAUUAUUGGGCGUAAAGAGCUCGUAGGCGGUUUGUUGCGUCGGCUGUGAAAUCCCGAGGCUCAACCUCGGGUCUGCAGUCGAUACGAGCAAACUAGAGUGUUGCAGGGGAGACUGGAAUUCCUGGUGUAGCGGUGAAAUGCGCAGAUAUCAGGAGGAACACCGGUGGCGAAGGCGGGUCUCUGGGCAACAACUGACGCUGAGGAGCGAAAGCGUGGGGAGCAAACAGG